This 483-nucleotide ribosomal RNA is filed under the name uncultured bacterium. RNAcentral's name for it is "partial 16S ribosomal RNA". It matches the Rfam family "Bacterial small subunit ribosomal RNA", at positions 30 to 507 of the family's 1533-position model. The record is from RNAcentral.
UUGAACGCUGGCGGCAGGCCUAACACAUGCCGGUCGAGCGGAUGAAGGGAGCUUGCUCCUGGAUUCAGCGGCGGACGGGUGAGUAAUGCCUCGGAAUCUGCCUGGUAGUGGGGGAUAACGUCCGGAAACGGGCGCUAAUACCGCAUACGUCCUGAGGGAGAAAGUGGGGGAUCUUCGGACCUCACGCUAUCAGAUGAGCCUAGGUCGGAUUAGCUAGUUGGUGGGGUAAAGGCCUACCAAGGCGACGAUCCGUAACUGGUCUGAGAGGAUGAUCAGUCACACUGGAACUGAGACACGGUCCAGACUCCUACGGGAGGCAGCAGUGGGGAAUAUUGGACAAUGGGCGAAAGCCUGAUCCAGCCAUGCCGCGUGUGUGAAGAAGGUCUUCGGAUUGUAAAGCACUUUAAGUUGGGAGGAAGGGCAGUAAGUUAAUACCUUGCUGUUUUGACGUUACCAACAAAAUAAGCACCGGCUAACUUCGUG